UCCCCGGUAGCUCAGUCGGUAGAGCGGGUGACUGUUAAUCACUAGGUCGCAGGUUCGAGUCCUGCCCGGGGAG
Non-coding RNA from Candidatus Rokubacteria bacterium 13_1_40CM_4_69_5, 73 nucleotides. The record is from Rfam. Lineage: Bacteria; Candidatus Rokuibacteriota.